RNAcentral lists this ribosomal RNA (2654 nucleotides) under human gut metagenome. RNAcentral's name for it is "bacterial LSU rRNA". The stretch from base 838 to 2654 matches the Rfam family "Bacterial large subunit ribosomal RNA". The record is from RNAcentral.
CGCAUUGUAACAUACCCCAUACCAGUCUGCAUUUCCGGGUCCAUGCCAGAAAAUUUAGUGAUAGUCAGCAGAUUCUCACCCGAAAAAUAUAUACGUACUUUAUUGGCAUAAAACUUCUGUGUCCAUGCCUGUGGAAGUGUAUAACCAAUAGUCAGAUUACGUAGCUUCAAGAAGUUUCCUUUUUCAAGAUGCAGCGUACUAGCUUCUGUAGCCUGGUUAGUUUGGUUAAGUGUCAAGCGAGAGUUUUUCGAAUAUAAAUUGGUACGAGGAUCAUUGGGAUUCUCCGGAUCAUAAAAAUAAUGAUCUUUUUGAAGUUCUUUCGACAGUCCAUAACCCAAAAUUGUGGAUGUAGAAUUCUGUCCUACCGAAUACCAAUAAAUAGAAAAUCCUGCUGCCCCUUGCCAAUUCAUAGAAACAUCAAACCCCUUCCACGUUACUGCUCCUUGUAAUCCAUAAUAAUAUUUCGGAACGGAUGAUACCUUCUGAAAUUUCUUAUCAUAAUCAUUUCCAUAAAGUCCAUCUCCAUUUAUAUCUGCAUAAAUAUAGUCACCAUACCAUAAAUUGGCCUUCCCAAUCUUCUGGUUAGGAUAAAACACAUAACCCUGAUCUUGCAUCGCUUUCAACCACUGCAUAUCUUGCUCUGUACGAAUCAUCCCAUCUUUAGGACCUCCUGUGGGAUUAACCAAUCCAUUGUUAAAAAAGUAAGUAGCAUCUCCUUUAUAAGGUUCCUUUAAAUAAUAUUCAUUUAUGAUAUGUCCCUCAAUUAUCCUGUUAUCUCCUCCAUCAGAAACAUCCCCUAAAUUUGAUUUAUAGAUAUAACUACCAUUUUCAUCAUACUCCCAACCUUUUUUUAAGGCCCCUUUAAACUUACUAACAAGAUUCUUGUUAUAAGAGAAAUUUCCAGAGAAAGAAUAGGACCAUUCAUUAACACGAUCAUUCCAAUUUAAUGUGAACUCAACUCCCUUAUUAGUAACCUCUGCAUAAUUUUGCCGAGCCGGUGUCUUGUUUCCCAUAGUUGCAUAAACGCCCGGACGAUAGAGAACACUCAUUCAAAGAGUGCGUAACAGCUCACUGGUCGAGUGAAAUUGCGCGGAAAAUUACCGGGGCUAAGCUAUACACCGAAAUUGCGGAUUCAAGGAUUUAUCCUUGAGUGGUAGAGGAGCAUUCUGUUGUAGGUUGAAGUAUGACCGUAAGGACAUGUGGACGAAGCAGAAGAGAGAAUGCUGGAAUAAGUAGCGAGAGCAAGGUGAGAAUCCUUGCCGUCGAAAGUCUAAGGUUUCCUGGGGAAGGUUCGUCCGCCCAGGGUUAGUCGGGACCUAAGGAGAGGCCGAGAGGCGUAUCUGAUGGACAGCAGGUUGAUAUUCCUGCACUAUAGAUAUACUUAAAAGAUGCAAGGGACGCAGAAGUGGAAGGAAUGCGAGGAAGAGGAAAAACUCGUAUCGAAAGAUAUAGUGAAAAUAAAGUAACGAAUUUCCAAGAAGCACGCUGACGAGAAAAGCUUGUAGAUAUUGUAUAUAAAUACCCGUACCGCAAACCGACACAGGUAGAUGAGGAGAGGAUCCUAAGACGAGCGGGAGAAGCAUUGUUAAGGAACUCGGCAAAUUGACCCCGUAACUUCGGAAUAAGGGGUGCCUAUGUAAAAGUAGGCCGCAGAGAAUAGGCCCAAGCAACUGUUUAACAAAAACACAGGUUUCUGCUAAAUCGAAAGAUGAAGUAUAGGAGCUGACGCCUGCCCAGUGCUGGAAGGUUAAGGGGAAGAGUUAAGACUUGAUCUGAAGCUUAGAACCAAAGCCCCAGUGAACGGCGGCCGUAACUAUAACGGUCCUAAGGUAGCGAAAUUCCUUGUCAGGUAAGUUCUGACCCGCACGAAAGGCGUAAUGAUUUGGGCACUGUCUCGACAAUGUACCCGGCGAAAUUGUAGUACUAGUGAAGAUGCUAGUUACCUGCGACAAGACAGAAAGACCCCAUGGAGCUUUACUGCAGCUUGAUACUGGGUUUCGGUAAUUUAUGUACAGGAUAGGUGGGAGACUAUGAAGUUAUGGCGUCAGCCGUAAUGGAGUCAUCGUUGGGAUACCACCCUUAAGUUAUUGAAAUUCUAACUUGUGAUCAUGAACUGGUCAGAGGACAAUGUCAGGCGGUGAGAGAAAACGGAUUCCUUCCGGCUCCGGUGCACGUGGUGUCAUCCAUUUUGGGUUCCAGCCAAUAUCCGGCUCUUCUUCCGGCAUCCACACCGGAAGAUCCGGUUUUUUCUGCAGAACCGAAGGUCCCUUUAAACCGUUUACGACCGGCCAGCCAUCCGCCGUCCAGCUGAUCGGAUCAAGCGCCGUCUCCCUGCCAAGCAUACUGUAACCAUCUCCGAUCAUCCUGCCGCAGAGAUAUACCAUAUACCACUCCCCGUUCUGUGUGCAGACCGGCUUUCCAUGACCACAUCUCUGGAUUGCUGCCCCCCCAUCCAUCUGCCGCAUGAUCGGGUUGUAUGGACACGGUUCAUAAUUUCCCAUAAGUGUCUUACUUCUCGCAACAGAAAUCCUGUGUCCCAUUCCGGUUCCUCCUUCUGCCAAGAACAGAUAAUAAUAACCGUCUUUUUUUAACAGAUGUGGUCCUUCCGGCGCACGUUUCUGAUCUCCGUAAUAUAACAAUUUUGCCUCAGAGAU